Non-coding RNA from Phalacrocorax carbo (great cormorant), 4176 nucleotides. The record is from RefSeq and is a predicted model, not a curated record. NCBI's taxonomy places the organism in Eukaryota, Metazoa, Chordata, Aves, Suliformes, Phalacrocoracidae.
UUAUCCUGUGAAACAAGAGCAGAGACAGCAGAGGGAUUAUCAGUCUUCAGGGAACCGCUGUGCAGUAAAUUAAAAACGUCUGCUGAGGUUCAGCCUGACCUUCCUGCGCGGCUGGGGCCGCUUCGGGGGUACCACAGGAGCAUAACCCAGAUACCUGCUGCCAAAUCCGGUGGGAGCGGGGAGGGGCUGCGCGGCCCAGGGGAUGCUCUGAAUGUACGAGUCUGGAUGAGACGUCCCCAGUCUUCCUCUGGGUUAGUCUCUUUGACAGCCCUGUGCUAUUAGUGACGGCAGACAAAUCUCUCUCCUGUUUUGAAAUAUUACCCUCUCAGUACGGACACCUUCCCGUGCACGAGCGAGCCUUCACAGCCAAGACACUGGUGGGCUUUAAAGUCAUUACUUCUCUUAGUAAUUAGACCUAGUGAUUAGCAUCUCUCUCAUUUCACCCUCUUUUCCGUGCACCAGUCAAGGGCUGGUCGGAGAUUUAGCAGGCCCUGCGCUGGCGUGACUGCCGAGUCGGGGCUCAGGAGCGCGCCGCUGCGUGCGCUGCCUUUGACUCCGCCAUCAGAGCAAGGGGAUGCAGCGCCAGAUUUCCCUCCGUGUGUCACUGACACGCGAGAGGAUUAAGGCGGAUCGCCGGCGGUCCCGCUCAAAGGCCCCCCGUCUGCCCCGCAUGUCCCAGCCUGACAGAGCCUGGCUGGACGUGGGACGUCACUGGUAUGACUUUCGCAGCCAAGCCAACAACAGUCCAGUGUAGGGACCUACCGGUUAAAGCUCAGGCCAUGGGGCGGAUGUGCGUGAAGUCCCUGAAGAGUGCAGCUGAGUGUAGCUGCUGAAGUCUGGCAACUUGGCCCCUCUGCCUUCAGCUGAGAUUGGCCCUGUGCAUCCUCAGCUUGGGUUGGAAGACAUCAUUUUGUUGGGUCUCUCCUGGGGCAGGUCCAGAGUUCCCAGAGACAGCUUUGUUCUUAGUGGACCACUCAGACAGACUCGUGAAAUACCACAGGCAAACUCAGGCGUGCCUUGUGCGGACCAUCUGCUAGACAUCAUUAUAUCAGAUUUUCUGACUUAGCUUUUUUUAAAUAGAUAUAUAUAUCUCAGCUGUCCCACCAUACACUGUAAGGCCAGAAAAAAGACUAGUUAAGAUAAUGAGACAUCUUCUACCUAGCACAGGCCAUUGGACAUCCCUGAAUUAAUUCCCGUUUGAAUUAGAACUAAGAAAUCCUAAUCCUGUCCAGAUUUGCCACUGGUAGAAAAAUUAUCACUGGAACCCUUGAUGAGCUUAAAUAUGUAAAGAUAGUCUGUGGUGGAGAUUCCUGCUGGAGUGGUUUAAGAUACGCUCUGCAGUCUAUCUGUUCCUUCUCAACAGCGGCGCUGGCAGAAAGGCAGACGUGCCUGUGCCCCUUGCAGGGCAGACCACAAGGUGGUACAUUUAUCGGCUUUUCCUCCGGGCUUUACUGUAAGAGGGUGAACGCAGGUGGCUGAGGUAUGGGCACGUGCUCCCCUCUGCCAGCUCUGCAGUUCCAGCAACUGCAGGCUGCAAAGGCUGCUCCGUUCUCCCUGCUUGGAGUGGCAACGGCUUGCCUGUCCGAGCCCUAAAUUAUGUUUAGACUUGUUAAGCUGCAAUAAGUAGCCAUAAGGAAGCACAGGUGGUCCGGUGACGAGCUCUGGUCUGUGACUCUCAAUGCAUUAACAGCUCCUAAGAGUUCCUUCUCUCCUCAAGUCACCCUGGCAAACCGAGGAAGAGACAGAAGCUCUUGCAAAGUGCCACAGAGAUUUAGGAAGAGCGAGCCUCCGUCUCCAGACAGGAGGUGUAUGCCAAUUCUUUUGGGUGUCAGUGAAAGCAUCUGCUUUGACAGCGGUCACCGACUUUGACAGAAGCCUACGCAACUUUGCCAUUGAAGUCAUGCUGUUGCUGUCACAAGCGCCACGUUACCUAAGCCCUGCCAAAGCACGCUGGUCAGGCCGGCCUCGAAGGUGCCAAGAGUUCCUGCUCCAACCACGGCGUGCUGCCAAGUCACCUGCCCUCUGCCAGUAUUUUCCCAUGCUGUGCCAUGGCUAAGGCUUUCCAUCGCUUCAGAAGUAUGACGAUAACUGCAUCGAGUCCUGGACUGAGCCGUACCGCUCCCUAAUUCCGCACGAGGACUAAGCCCUCCGCUUCGGUGGUAUGCGGUGCUGAGAUGUGCUCUGGCACCCUGAAACGCCCGUAGCACGAUGGUGGGCUCCGGAAGGCGGUGUGGGCUGCAGGAAGGACCGGCGCGGCCGACGCUGUUCAAGUCAAGCCCUCGAGACCUCAGCCUGCCAACCCUAGGCCCGCUUCCAAGGCAUAACAGCAGCUGGUAUAUUCUUGUCUCUUGAACCCUGAGGGAACUGGUAUGUUCUUCGGUAGCUCCGUAACUGCGCUGAGGAGCGUUGGUUUCUGCUUGCACCGCUUCCUGCACCAACCUUUAGCACUGGUUUGCAUCAGAAGGCUGACCUCUUGUGACCUCCUCGGUCCUGCAGCACACAGGCCCUGCCUGCCCCACUCCUGUUUACGUCAGCCAGAGCUGCGAGGUCAGAUCCCCGGAGCUGCUCUGGAAGUCUACCCCCAGCUGCAUUUUCUCUAAAGAUGUUAAGAUUAAUUUUCUCAGGAGAAUUCAGGGAAAAGCUUCUGUGGUUUUUGUGUAUCGUUUACUUCUCCGGGACUCAUUGGACAUUCUCCAGGGAUUCCAGUCCUGCACUUUGGGUAAAUAUUUAUUCCUUGUUAUUUGAAGCAAAGGAUGAAAGCCCCACCACACUCUCUGCACAGCAUCUCCAACUGGUUUGAAGGUGAUGGAGACUUUUUAGUGCCAUAAAUAGACAUUAGCAGUGGAAGCUGUGAAACCCACAUGGUGGCUGCUUGCUGCACGGAGCUGCUGCUCUGCAGAAAUCGAUGAGCAGCAUCUGCAGUGGGGAGCAAAAUCCGCGCACUAACGUGUGUGGGACGUGGGCCCCGCAAAGCCCAGGAGCAGGGCAGGUGGGGAGCAUGUUGUUAUCACUGGUUACUGAUGCCUGCCGCUGCUACAGGUAUCUGCCGUGCUUUGGGAUGCUGAGAUCCGUGACCGGAGGGCACAGCCCUGGCAUCAGGUGAAGUGACCUGGUACAGGAUUUUCUACUUGAUGGAAAUUCCACAAUAUAAACUUUUCAAUGGAAGGAUGUUUCUACAUUCCUUUUGGGGUUGACAGGUUGUAGUUUGCAAAAUCAUAUAUCUGUUUCAACGCUGAUUUUCCAAAAAUUGUACCAUAUCAAAAUGGAAUCAUCAGUAUUUAAAAACAUAACAUUAAAAUUUUCUGCUUUGAAGAGGGUUAACGAGGGCUCCGGUUUGGGUUUUAUGAAAUACGGACCGUUGAAGCAGACAUAUUUCUGGUAGAUGCAUAGCACUUGUCAAAUCGGUAUUUUUCACAGGAAGGAAAAAAAAACUCACUGGGAAGUUACCUGCUACCUCCUGGCAGGAAAUUAUGGGCCAGCCUCGAUAAUCCAUGGUGGUGCAUCCCUCCAGCUGCUUCUCCUUACGGUCGUAUCUUGUCUGGGUGCCAGUUACAAUAAUCAUCCUCCUUUUUUGCUACAAACUUUCUGUCCUCCAAGGCAGUAGUCAUUCAGACUCCGUAUGAUUUGUGUUUUCAGCACAGACUCCUCUCAUGCUUCCUGCCAGGCACUUCAGGACAUUCCCUGGUAUAACGCCCGCGGCUUACAUGGACACAGAACACAGCCGAGGUUUCCAGCUGGCCUGGACUUACCAGGGCAGAGCUGCUCGGUUCCUCCUGGAGGCUUGCAUAGCAACACCCCAUUUACCUUGCCACAUGAAGUCCUUCAUCUACAGGGAACUUGUGUUACCAUUGUUCACACACCACAGGGUGAAAACCACCCGCUCCUUCCCCUGCUGCAGUGGGAUAACCUUGUAAUCGUGUUGGCCUGACGUCAGAUCAAUGCAAUUAGGCUCGGACGCCUGCAAUUCAGCGUAAGCAUCGACUGUUAAAAAUGAUACGUGAGCCACCAGCCCACAGCCUCUUAACUGGAUUAUCAGCCAUUCACACAGGGCUACCUGUUCUGUGAAGAUUAUACCCAAGUGGUGAGGGGAAGCAAAUAAGUGAGGUGGUUUGGGCACCUGAAUUCAUGGUACUAGCCACAAAAGGAAUAAAUAAACUUUUAAUUUUGCAUUCUAAC